GUGCAGUCGAGCGAAUCGAUGGGAGCUUGCUCCCUGAUAUCAGCGGCGGACGGGUGAGUAACACGUGGGCAACCUGCCUGUAAGACUGGGAUAACUCCGGGAAACCGGGGCUAAUACCGGAUAAUUCCUUCCUCCUCCUGGAGGAAGGCUGAAAGAUGGUUUCGGCUAUCACUUACAGAUGGGCCCGCGGCGCAUUAGCUAGUUGGUGAGGUAACGGCUCACCAAGGCCACGAUGCGUAGCCGACCUGAGAGGGUGAUCGGCCACACUGGGACUGAGACACGGCCCAGACUCCUACGGGAGGCAGCAGUAGGGAAUCUUCCGCAAUGGACGAAAGUCUGACGGAGCAACGCCGCGUGAGUGAAGAAGGUUUUCGGAUCGUAAAACUCUGUUGUUAGGGAAGAACAAGUGCGAGAGUAACUGCUCGCACCUUGACGGUACCUAACCAGAAAGCCACGGCUAACUACGUGCCAGCAGCCGCGGUAAUACGUAGGUGGCAAGCGUUGUCCGGAAUUAUUGGGCGUAAAGCGCGCGCAGGCGGUUCCUUAAGUCUGAUGUGAAAGCCCACGGCUCAACCGUGGAGGGUCAUUGGAAACUGGGGAACUUGAGUGCAGAAGAGAAGAGCGGAAUUCCACGUGUAGCGGUGAAAUGCGUAGAGAUGUGGAGGAACACCAGUGGCGAAGGCGGCUCUUUGGUCUGUAACUGACGCUGAGGCGCGAAAGCGUGGGGAGCAAACAGGAUUAGA
RNAcentral lists this ribosomal RNA (743 nucleotides) under Falsibacillus pallidus. RNAcentral describes it as "bacterial SSU rRNA". It matches the Rfam family "Bacterial small subunit ribosomal RNA", at positions 55 to 782 of the family's 1533-position model. Lineage: Bacteria; Bacillati; Bacillota; Bacilli; Caryophanales; Bacillaceae. The record is from RNAcentral.